AGCUCGUAGGUGGUUAGUUACGUCGGAUGUGAAAAUCUAGGGCUCAACCCUAGACCUGCAUCCGAUACGGGCUAGCUUGAGUUUGGUAGGGGAGACUGGAAUUCCUGGUGUAGCGGUGGAAUGCGCAGAUAUCAGGAGGAACACCAAUGGCGAAGGCAGGUCUCUGGGCCAAUACUGACACUGAGGAGCGAAAGUGUGGGGAGCGAACAGGAUUAGAUACCCUGGUAGUCCACACAGUAAACGAUGGGCACUAGUUGUGGGAACCUUCCACGGUUUCUGCGACGCAGCUAACGCAUUAAGUGCCCCGCCUGGGGAGUACGAUCGCAAGAUUAAAACUCAAAGGAAUUGACGGGGCCCCGCACAAGCAGCGGAGCAUGCGGCUUAAUUCGACGCAACGCGAAGAACCUUACCAAGGCUUGACAUAUACAGGAAUAUGGCAGAGAUGUCAUAGCCGCAAGGUCUGUAUACAGGUGGUGCAUGGUUGUCGUCAGCUCGUGUCGUGAGAUGUUGGGUUAAGUCCCGCAACGAGCGCAACCCUCGUUCUGUGUUGCCAGCAUUUAGUUGGGGACUCACAGGAGACUGCCGGGGUCAACUCGGAGGAAGGUGGGGAUGACGUCAAAUCAUCAUGCCCCUUAUGUCUUGGGCUGCACGCAUGCUACAAUGGCUGGUACAAAGGGCUGCAAUACUGCAAAGUGGAGCGAAUCCCAAAAAGCCAGUCUCAGUUC
RNAcentral lists this ribosomal RNA (725 nucleotides) under uncultured Actinomycetes bacterium. RNAcentral describes it as "bacterial SSU rRNA". It matches the Rfam family "Bacterial small subunit ribosomal RNA", at positions 566 to 1294 of the family's 1533-position model. Lineage: Bacteria; Bacillati; Actinomycetota; Actinomycetes. The record is from RNAcentral.